CCUACGGGCGGCAGCAGUAGGGAAUCUUCCACAAUGGGCGAAAGCCUGAUGGAGCAACGCCGCGUGGGUGAAGAAGGUCUUCGGAUCGUAAAACUCUGUUGUUAGAGAAGAAAGUGCGUGAGAGUAACUGUUCACGUUUCGACGGUAUCUAACCAGAAAGCCACGGCUAACUACGUGCCAGCAGCCGCGGUAAUACGUAGGUGGCAAGCGUUAUCCGGAUUUAUUGGGCGUAAAGGGAACGCAGGCGGUCUUUUAAGUCUGAUGUGAAAGCCUUCGGCUUAACCGGAGUAGUGCAUUGGAAACUGGGAGACUUGAGUGCAGAAGAGGAGAGUGGAACUCCAUGUGUAGCGGUGAAAUGCGUAGAUAUAUGGAAGAACACCAGUGGCGAAAGCGGCUCUCUGGUCUGUAACUGACGCUGAGGUUCGAAAGCGUGGGUAGCAAACAGGAUUAGAUACCCUAGUAGUC
RNAcentral lists this ribosomal RNA (465 nucleotides) under uncultured bacterium. RNAcentral describes it as "partial 16S ribosomal RNA". It matches the Rfam family "Bacterial small subunit ribosomal RNA", at positions 338 to 795 of the family's 1533-position model. The record is from RNAcentral.